RNAcentral lists this ribosomal RNA (466 nucleotides) under Vreelandella stevensii. RNAcentral describes it as "partial 16S ribosomal RNA". It matches the Rfam family "Bacterial small subunit ribosomal RNA", at positions 338 to 795 of the family's 1533-position model. The record is from RNAcentral. Lineage: Bacteria; Pseudomonadati; Pseudomonadota; Gammaproteobacteria; Oceanospirillales; Halomonadaceae.
CCUACGGGUGGCAGCAGUGGGGAAUAUUGGACAAUGGGCGAAAGCCUGAUCCAGCCAUGCCGCGUGUGUGAAGAAGGCCUUCGGGUUGUAAAGCACUUUCAGUGGGGAAGAAAGCCUUGGGGCUAAUACCCUCGAGGAAGGACAUCACCCACAGAAGAAGCACCGGCUAACUCACGUGCCAGCAGCCGCGGUAAUACGGAGGGUGCGAGCGUUAAUCGGAAUUACUGGGCGUAAAGCGCGCGUAGGCGGUCUGAUAAGCCGGUUGUGAAAGCCCCGGGCUCAACCUGGGAACGGCAUCCGGAACUGUCAGGCUAGAGUGCAGGAGAGGAAGGUAGAAUUCCCGGUGUAGCGGUGAAAUGCGUAGAGAUCGGGAGGAAUACCAGUGGCGAAGGCGGCCUUCUGGACUGACACUGACGCUGAGGUGCGAAAGCGUGGGUAGCAAACAGGAUUAGAUACCCCGGUAGUC